RNAcentral lists this non-coding RNA (21 nucleotides) under Caenorhabditis elegans. The record is from RNAcentral. Lineage: Eukaryota; Metazoa; Nematoda; Chromadorea; Rhabditida; Rhabditidae.
UAAAACCCAAAUGUUGAUAUA